UGAGCAAUCUGCCCUUCUCUUUGGAAUAAGCGUUGGAAACGACGUCUAAUGCCGAAUACGACCUCCUUUCGCAUGAUCGGAGGUGGAAAGCUCCGGCGGAGAAGGAUGAGCUCGCGGCCUAUCAGCUAGUUGGUGUGGGUAACGCCACAAGGCGACGACGGGUAGCCGGCCUGAGAGGGUGACCGGCCACACUGGGACUGAGACACGGCCCAGACCUCCGUACGGGGAGCAG
Molecule: ribosomal RNA, 232 nt
Filed under: uncultured bacterium
Lineage: Bacteria
Description: partial 16S ribosomal RNA
Rfam family: Bacterial small subunit ribosomal RNA
Source: RNAcentral